Molecule: ribosomal RNA, 492 nt
Filed under: uncultured bacterium
Lineage: Bacteria
Description: partial 16S ribosomal RNA
Rfam family: Bacterial small subunit ribosomal RNA
Source: RNAcentral
AGUGAACGCUGGCGGUAGGCCUAACACAUGCAAGUCGAACGGCAGCACAGUAAGAGCUUGCUCUUACGGGUGGCGAGUGGCGGACGGGUGAGGAAUACAUCGGAACCUACUUUUUCGUGGGGGUUAACGUAGGGAAACUUACGCUAAUACCGCAUACGACCUACGGUUGAAAGCAGGGGAUCUUCGGACCUUUCGCGAUUGAAUGAGCCGAUGUCGGAUUAGCUAGUUGGCGGGGUAAAGGCCAACCAAGUCGACGAUCCGUAGCUGGUCUGAGAGGAUGAUCGUCGACACGGGAACUGAGACACGGUCCAGACGCCUACGGGAGGCAGCAGUGGGGAAUAUUGGACAAUGGGCGCAAGCCUGAUCCAGCGAUACCGCGUGGGUGGAAACGGCCUUCGGGUUGUGAAGCCCUUUUGUUGGGAAAGAAAAGCAGCCGGUUAAUACCCCGCUGUUCUGACGGUACCCAAAGAAUAAGCACCGGCUAACUUCGUG